This 477-nucleotide ribosomal RNA is filed under the name Candidatus Kuenenia stuttgartensis. RNAcentral describes it as "bacterial SSU rRNA". It matches the Rfam family "Bacterial small subunit ribosomal RNA", at positions 365 to 832 of the family's 1533-position model. Lineage: Bacteria; Pseudomonadati; Planctomycetota; Candidatus Brocadiia; Candidatus Brocadiales; Candidatus Brocadiaceae. The record is from RNAcentral.
UUCGCAAUGCCCGAAAGGGUGACGAAGCGACGCCGCGUGUGGGAAGAAGGCCUUCGGGUUGUAAACCACUGUCAGGGGUUAGGAAGUGCAGGGGCGUUAAUAGCGUUCUUGCUUGACUAAGGCUCCAGAGGAAGCCACGGCUAACUCUGUGCCAGCAGCCGCGGUAAUACAGAGGCGGCAAGCGUUGUUCGGAAUUAUUGGGCGUAAAGAGCACGUAGGCGGCCUUGCAAGUCAGUUGUGAAAGCCUUCCGCUCAACGGAAGAAUGCCAGCUGAUACUACAGGGCUUGAGUACGGGAGGGGAGAGUGGAACUUCUGGUGGAGCGGUGAAAUGCGUAGAUAUCAGAAGGAACGCCGGCGGCGAAAGCGACUCUCUGGCCCGAAACUGACGCUGAGUGUGCGAAAGCUAGGGGAGCAAACGGGAUUAGAUACCCCGGUAGUCCUAGCCGUAAACGAUGGGCACUAAGUAGAGGGGUUUU